This 57-nucleotide transfer RNA is filed under the name Tritrichomonas foetus. It matches the Rfam family "tRNA", at positions 8 to 63 of the family's 71-position model. Rfam says of the family: Transfer RNA (tRNA) molecules are approximately 80 nucleotides in length. Their secondary structure includes four short double-helical elements and three loops (D, anti-codon, and T loops). Lineage: Eukaryota; Parabasalia; Tritrichomonadida; Tritrichomonadidae. The record is from Rfam by way of RNAcentral.
UAGCUCAGUGGUAGAGCGCUACAUUUGCAUUGUAGAGGCCAGGGGUCCGACUCCCUU